GAUGAACGCUGGCGGCGUGCCUAAUACAUGCAAGUCGAGCGAACAGACGAGGAGCUUGCUCCUCUGACGUUGGCGGCGGACGGGUGAGUAACACGUGGAUAACCUACCUAUAAGACUGGGAUAACUUCGGGAAACCGGAGCUAAUACCGGAUAAUAUAUUGAACCGCAUGGUUCAAUAGUGAAAGACGGUUUUGCUGUCACUUAUAGAUGGAUCCGCGCCGCAUUAGCUAGUUGGUAAGGUAACGGCUUACCAAGGCAACGAUGCGUAGCCGACCUGAGAGGGUGAUCGGCCACACUGGAACUGAGACACGGUCCAGACUCCUACGGGAGGCAGCAGUAGGGAAUCUUCCGCAAAGGGCGAAAGCUUGACGGAGCAACGCCGCGUGAGUGAUGAAGGUCUUCGGAUCGUAAAACUCUGUUAUUAGGGAAGAACAAAUGUGUAAGUAACUAUGCACGUCUUGACGGUACCUAAUCAGAAAGCCACGGCUAACUACGUG
RNAcentral lists this ribosomal RNA (497 nucleotides) under uncultured bacterium. Its description in RNAcentral is "partial 16S ribosomal RNA". It matches the Rfam family "Bacterial small subunit ribosomal RNA", at positions 28 to 507 of the family's 1533-position model. The record is from RNAcentral.